This 256-nucleotide ribosomal RNA is filed under the name uncultured archaeon. RNAcentral's name for it is "partial 16S ribosomal RNA". It matches the Rfam family "Bacterial small subunit ribosomal RNA", at positions 521 to 776 of the family's 1533-position model. The record is from RNAcentral.
UAAUACGUAGGGGGCGAGCGUUGUCCGGAAUCACUGGGUGUAAAGGGUCUGCAAGCGGACCGGAAAGUCAGAGGUGAAAUCCUGCAGCUCAACUGUAGAACUGCCUUUGAAACUUCUGGUCUUGAGUCCGGGAGAGGAUGGCGGAAUUCCUGGUGUAGCGGUGAAAUGCGUAGAUAUCAGGAAGAACACCGGUGGUGAAGACGGCCAUCUGGACCGGUACUGACGCCCGGAGACGAAAGCGUGGGUAGCAAACAGG